UACAGAGGGUGCAAGCGUUGUUCGGAAUUAUUGGGCGUAAAGCGCGUGUAGGCGGCCUCGUAAGUCAAAUGUGAAAGCCCUCGGCUCAACCGAGGAAGCGCAUUUGAUACUGCGAAGCUUGAGUAUCGGAGAGGAGAGCGGAACACCCGGUGUAGAGGUGAAAUUCGUAGAUAUCGGGUAGAACACCAGUGGCGAAGGCGGCUCUCUGGACGAAUACUGACGCUGAGACGCGAAAGCGUGGGGAGCAAACAGG
Molecule: ribosomal RNA, 253 nt
Filed under: uncultured bacterium
Lineage: Bacteria
Description: partial 16S ribosomal RNA
Rfam family: Bacterial small subunit ribosomal RNA
Source: RNAcentral